Long non-coding RNA from Xenopus laevis (African clawed frog), 883 nucleotides. RefSeq lists it as uncharacterized. The record is from RefSeq and is a predicted model, not a curated record. The transcript is spliced from 4 exons. Lineage: Eukaryota; Metazoa; Chordata; Amphibia; Anura; Pipidae.
CUGAUUAGGCAGCUCCUCCCUAUUGUGAAUCACAAGUUUGGAUCAUGUGACGUGUGCACUCCUUUACAGACAGGGGUAAAGUUAGAAGUCAAAGGAUUUUCAUUGUGACCACAGUGAGUAUUAGGCAGAAUGACUCAACAAUACAGAGAAACAUGGAAGCUGAGACCUCGGUAACCCAGUCACCACCCAGUUCUGCAGCAUUAAAUAGUGAAACAAAGUCCUGCAUUGCAGUGCUAAUCUGGGGUCUGGUCAUCAUCGGGUGCCUUUUUUAUCAUAUGAAAGAGGCAGCUCAGAGGGAUUUUCAGGACUGGUAAUACAAGAGCUGACGAUUAAAUAACCCCCACACUCCAUCACAUUAUCCAUUCAUAUCAAGGAUCAAGUGUCAGCUGGUCUGCUGGUAGUUUCAUCUGGAUUGAAUUGUGCAACGUUUUGGAAUUUUUUUUUCUGCCUAAUUUAUCUCAAAGAAUCCAAUCAUCAUGAAUAGAUUUAGAAAUAAAUAAUUUUAAAGUCACAUUUAAACAUUGAUAUCAAAGGAGACUAAGCAAAUGUCACUAUUUCUAGAAAGCAGAUAUUUAUAUUUGAAAAUAGUCUGGCAGCAGCAUUGCUAAAGUGCACGUAUGUGAAUGUCCUUUAAUGCAUCACACAAAUUUGCCUUGUGUUGUGCAGAUACAGAAGUUCUUUUGAGCCUCACUUAAAUGAUGAAGGAGAAAAUAUUUUGUAUCAAAGUAGCGGUUUAUUUUGCCAAACACUAAUGGCAACUUUAUGGCUGUAAAUGUGACUAUUUACCCCGAAAACACUGUACUGGAUAACUUGCCAUUAAUCAUAUAGAUUCAUGAGUUUUACGUGUAACAUAAACUAUGUAUAAAGCUGCUUCUAAACGUCA